UUUGGCCGGGCACCCACUUCAAAGGUCCUCGUAAUGGGAAAGCAGGUUCUAGAUCGCAGCCCCAGUUUGUUCCCCAACUCAUUCCGUAAACUACGUCGAUGGCAGCUUUAUAUGUUCAAACAUAAAUCAUGCAUGAAUGUGGCAGAAAAGUGAUUCGAGUGGACUGGGAGCGGAGGCACUGGCGUACACAACUUUAUGCAAACUCCGACAAACAACAGGCGGUGGCAAAUUGCCCAACAAAUCAAUCAAAUACAUCUGACAGAUCCUGGAGGAGUCGAGGAAAAGUUGGGAUGCGCCACAGGACAUGUAAAUGAAAGCAAGAUGAAAACGAAAGGCUCUGGGCUGCCAUUAAAGUGGCUUGUCGAAUGGACCGGCCAAACGCCGAUGACCGGACAUGAUGGCCAAUGAUGCGGUUCGAUUAUUUAGGCCUUUAUCAAAGUUUCAAGUUGCAAAGUUGAAGAGAGAGAGACGUCCCGAUUAAAUAUUC
This is a non-coding RNA of Drosophila melanogaster (fruit fly), 487 nucleotides long. The record is from Ensembl. Lineage: Eukaryota; Metazoa; Arthropoda; Insecta; Diptera; Drosophilidae.